GCCCGCAUAGCUCAGUCGGUAGAGCAUCAGACUUUUAAGACUCUUUCUAAGAAGGAAUCUGAGGGUCGUGGGUUCGAGUCCCCCUGUGGGCG
This 92-nucleotide transfer RNA is filed under the name Octopus vulgaris (common octopus). It matches the Rfam family "tRNA". From Rfam's summary of the family: Transfer RNA (tRNA) molecules are approximately 80 nucleotides in length. Their secondary structure includes four short double-helical elements and three loops (D, anti-codon, and T loops). The record is from Rfam by way of RNAcentral. Lineage: Eukaryota; Metazoa; Mollusca; Cephalopoda; Octopoda; Octopodidae.